UGGGGAAUUUUGGACAAUGGGCGAAAGCCUGAUCCAGCAAUGCCGCGUGUGUGAAGAAGGCCUUCGGGUUGUAAAGCACUUUUGUCCGGAAAGAAAUCCUUGGCUCUAAUACAGUCGGGGGAUGACGGUACCGGAAGAAUAAGCACCGGCUAACUACGUGCCAGCAGCCGCGGUAAUACGUAGGGUGCAAGCGUUAAUCGGAAUUACUGGGCGUAAAGCGUGCGCAGGGCGGUUUGCUAAGACCGAUGUGAAAUCCCCGGGCUCAACCUGGGAACUGCAUUGGUGACUGGCAGGCUAGAGUAUGGCAGAGGGGGGUAGAAUUCCACGUGUAGCAGUGAAAAUGCGUAGAGAUGUGGAGGAAUACCGAUGGCGAAGGCAGCCCCCUGGGGCCAAUACUGACGCUCAUGCACGAAAAGCGUGGGGGAGCAAAACAGGAUUAGAUACCCUGGUAGUCCACGCCCUAAACGAUGUCAACUAGUUGUUGGGGACUUCAUUUCCUUAGUAACGUAGCAACGCGUGAAGUUGACCGCCUGGGGGAGUACGGUCGCAAAGAUU
This 555-nucleotide ribosomal RNA is filed under the name uncultured bacterium. Its description in RNAcentral is "partial 16S ribosomal RNA". It matches the Rfam family "Bacterial small subunit ribosomal RNA", at positions 355 to 895 of the family's 1533-position model. The record is from RNAcentral.